GAGUAAAACAGACAAUGCAUACUCUGUAUCCCUGACGAAAAAGUAAAUUGCUUUGAAACGUUGGAAUAACACUGCCAGUGUAAUGCGGACUUUAUUUAGCCCUUGAGUGCAACUGUUGUGGAGUCUAUAUUGGAUUGCGGAGGCGGUCUUAUGUGUGCAUCGGGGCAAGGACAGACAGUAUUGGAGUGCCGCCAUCAAAGCUUUUUUGUCUAUCCUACUAAACACCACAAAAGUCUUUGUCAAGCAGCAAUCAUCUGACAAAGAGAUUUGCAGAGAGUCGGGUGACCGGCAAAGAGAUCUGCAAAGUGUCAGUUGAAGACGACGGGAGGGGUCACAGAGGUAGCAACGACUGGAGUAUAACAUGCAGGAGAUCAUCAUUUGGCAAAGUUCUGGCACAGAGAUUUGCAGAGUGUCGGGUGACCGGCACAAAAGAUCUGCAAAGUGUCAGUUGAAGAUGACGGGAGUGGUCGCAGAGGAAUUAGUGAUUGGAGAAUAGCAUGCAGGAGUGGGUGAUCCCUGAAUAGCUGCCCUGGGAGGAGAGCUGCGGACACAUGCUCCAAAUGUUGGGACAUAUGCAUUACCUAUUAGGAGAUGCGGUAAAGAUGCCGGCUGUCGGGUUUACGGCAGUCAGAAUACUGACACUGGGAUCCCGACACUCUUCAGAAUCCCGACGUUGGAACUCCGAAUGGGCAAGGAUACCGAUGCCCGUAUCCCCACGAUCAUAGGUUUAGGGCUGGGCAAGGGGAAUUAGGUUUAGGCAUCAGGGACUGGGAAGGAGGA
Pseudophryne corroboree (corroboree frog) is the source of this 780-nucleotide long non-coding RNA. RefSeq lists it as uncharacterized. The transcript is spliced from 5 exons. NCBI's taxonomy places the organism in Eukaryota, Metazoa, Chordata, Amphibia, Anura, Myobatrachidae. The record is from RefSeq and is a predicted model, not a curated record.